CGGAUAUCUCGGCUCUUGCAUCGAUGAAGAACGUAGCGAAAUGCGAUACUUGGUGUGAAUUGCAGAAUCCCGUGAACCAUCGAGUCUUUGAACGCAAGUUGCGCCCGAAGCCAUUAGGCUGAGGGCACGCCUGCCUGGGUGUCG
This 144-nucleotide ribosomal RNA is filed under the name Crotalaria laevigata. Its description in RNAcentral is "5.8S ribosomal RNA". It matches the Rfam family "5.8S ribosomal RNA". Rfam says of the family: 5.8S ribosomal RNA (5.8S rRNA) is a component of the large subunit of the eukaryotic ribosome. It is transcribed by RNA polymerase I as part of the 45S precursor that also contains 18S and 28S rRNA. The record is from RNAcentral. Lineage: Eukaryota; Viridiplantae; Streptophyta; Magnoliopsida; Fabales; Fabaceae.